UACGUAGGAGGCAAGCGUUGUCCGGAAUUACUGGGCGUAAAGCGCGUGUAGGUGGUGGGACAAGUCUGCUGUGAAAGUGCCUGGCUUAACCGGGCGAGGUCGGCGGAAACUGUCCGACUCGAGGACGGUAGAGGGGGGUGGAAUUCCCGGUGUAGUGGUGAAAUGCGUAGAGAUCGGGAGGAACACCUGUGGCGAAGGCGGCCCCCUGGGCCGGGCCUGACACUGAGACGCGAAGGCGUGGGGAGCGAACGGG
Molecule: ribosomal RNA, 253 nt
Filed under: uncultured bacterium
Lineage: Bacteria
Description: partial 16S ribosomal RNA
Rfam family: Bacterial small subunit ribosomal RNA
Source: RNAcentral